This is a long non-coding RNA of Amphibalanus amphitrite, 444 nucleotides long. RefSeq lists it as uncharacterized. The transcript has 3 exons. The record is from RefSeq and is a predicted model, not a curated record. Lineage: Eukaryota; Metazoa; Arthropoda; Thecostraca; Balanomorpha; Balanidae.
CGGAUCGGGGCGCUGCGGAGACGGGCGGGUUUGUUUCUCUUGUGAUUGUGUUGCGUCUGCUGAACGCAAGGCUGAACGGUCUCUGAGCUGGCCGAGCUGCGGGUGGACGAGGCGUGCCGAACCGGCAGGGGCUGCCACCCGCCCGCUGUCUCAUCCACCGGACGACAGAGCGCUAACCGGUUUCUGAGCCGGUGGCCGGGUGAGCGGUAAAAACCCGCCCGGACGAACGGAGAGAGGCGCCGUGCAGCUCUCGGAGUGCUCCCUCAGGUUAGCCACGGCAGAGUAACAUGUCGAGCUGUCUCAGCAGUCAGCUGGGCCGAACUGGGCCGCCCCGGCCGGAUACACACCGAUCAGGAAAGUGGCUGCACCGCUCGCCGAAUGGACCGAGAUUCACACCGGGAAAACAACCGCCCGUGUACAUACAUCCUGUUAUUAACCCGGCAG